CAACCACAAACAUCCAAACGUCAAAAGAGCGAGGAAAAACUACCACAUCGAGAAAAAAUUACAUUAUUGGCAUCAUGGCUGGAUUAUAUGCCAAUAUCAUUUCCUUUUGAAAUAGCAAGGAAUUGAGAAUGGAAACAUAUCUUCGAAGAGUUCUAUGAUCCCAAGUUCAAAAGUAAUCAAAAUAACUAGAAAUCAUUCAUGACAAAUGUCCACGGGGAGAACAAGUUUUUUCUUUCUCAGUUCCUUUUGAUAGUUCUAAAAACAACUAUUGCACGUCCUAAAACUUCCUAGUAACGAUUGCCGUGCUGGUGCUGCAGAGUACUUGUUAGCAUGUAUCUCAUAUGAGAAAACGACAAGACUAGGGUGAAUAUAUUCGCAGAAUACAAACCUCUGGAGCCAUCCAACGAUAUGUUCCAGUUUCUGCAGUCAUCACACCAGAUUGAGAUUGCAUUCUGGCAACACCAAAAUCAGCAACCUUGACAACCUGUCAAGCAUUUUGGUUUAAAGGUGGGACUGAAAUAAAAAAACAAUCUGAUAGAGUUCAAAAAAAGGAAAAAAAAAAAAAAACAGAGGCACACUUGAGAAUGGGUACUCCAGGAGAUGACUUAGUACACUAGGAUUGACAAAAGAUAAUCCGCAAAUUCAAAUAACGAUUAUGCUUAUAAAUGUUUAUUAUAGAAAAGGAAAAUCAUUGGAUUCAAAUACAAGUUCAAAGCCUGCAGUACAGAGUAAUGCCAGUCAAAUGUGUCGAUGAAACAUGUAAAGGCUCAAACCUUGUACCCACUCUACUUUAUUCACGCUCUUAUUUGAAUGUCAAUUUAAGGGUGAAAAAUCAAUUACAUACA
Cucurbita maxima (winter squash) is the source of this 845-nucleotide long non-coding RNA. RefSeq lists it as uncharacterized. The record is from RefSeq and is a predicted model, not a curated record. NCBI's taxonomy places the organism in Eukaryota, Viridiplantae, Streptophyta, Magnoliopsida, Cucurbitales, Cucurbitaceae. The transcript is spliced from 2 exons.